CUCCUUAGGAACAUCAUGCUCAAGGUUUGAUGAGCUCUAAGUUUGAGCUUAUGGCAAUAACAAUAUCUUGGCUCAUGUCCUUAGAAAUUGUAUCUGAGUGGGAACAGCUUCUCCAGACUCUCUGGUAAAAUGUCUUGGAUGGAAAACAACCACAGCAAAUACCAUUCAUAUUUGCUGGAUUGACUUCCAUUCUGGACAGGGAAUGGAUAAGUGAACACCAGCAAUUGCUGCCCCUGUUUCUCUUUUUGUUGGAGUUUUCUGACAUUCCUAUCAAAGAUACACAUCUGCAGGGCCAGAUUUAGGUUUGAUGAGGCCCUGAGCUACUAAAGGUAAUGGGGCCCUUUAUAUGUCCAGCUGUCCUCUGUCAAUAACAAAUUGCCACUGUUUUUUUGUGUUGAAUAUAUGCUAUAUGGCAAUUUAUGGACCUAAAAGCCCCCCAUCCAAACAAUGACUAUCAUCAGUGCAGGUAAGAAAAAAAAUUAAUUUUAAUUUUUAUCAUCUACAGUACUGUUUUAUUUAUUUUAUAGUACAGUACAUUGAUUAUUGCUUUCAUUUUAUGGAUCAAUGGUUUCGUUAGAUAGUAAAAUUCAUGUUAAAUUGCUGUUUUAGGGGUUCUUUUUAAAAGUCUGGAACAGAUUAAUCCGUUUUGCAUUACUUUCUAUGGGAAAGACCACCUUGGUUUUGGAACGCUUUGGUUUUGGAACAGACUUCCAGAAUGGAUUAAGUUUGAGAACCAAGGUACCACUGUAUAUAGAAAUGAGCAAACCAGUGAUAUUUUAGGGAGCAGACUAGCAGGCAGGGCUCAUUACUUACAUCA
Molecule: long non-coding RNA, 817 nt
Organism: Podarcis raffonei (Aeolian wall lizard)
Lineage: Eukaryota; Metazoa; Chordata; Lepidosauria; Squamata; Lacertidae
Exons: 3
Source: RefSeq, a predicted model, not a curated record